GGCCCUAUGGGGCGCAGCAGGCGAGAAAACUUUGCAAUGUGCGAAAGCACGACAAGGUUAAUCCGAGUGGUUUCUGCUAAAGGAACCUUUUGUCGGUCCUAGAAACACCGAUGAAUAAGGGGUGGGCAAGUUCUGGUGUCAGCCGCCGCGGUAAAACCAGCACCUCAAGUGGUCAGGAUGAUUAUUGGGCCUAAAGCAUCCGUAGCCGGCUCUGUAAGUUUUCGGUUAAAUCUGUACGCUCAACGUACAGGCUGCCGGGAAUACUGCAGAGCUAGGGAGUGGGAGAGGUAGACGGUACUCGGUAGGAAGGGGUAAAAUCCUUUGAUCUAUUGAUGACCACCUGUGGCGAAGGCGGUCUACCAGAACACGUCCGACGGUGAGGGAUGAAAGCUGGGGGAGCAAACCGGAUUAGAUACCCGGGUAGUCCCAGCUGUAAACUAUGCAAACUCAGUGAUGCAUUGACUUGUGGUCAAUGCAGUGCUGCAGGGAAGCCGUUAAGUUUGCCGCCUGGGAAGUACGUACGCAAGUAUGAAACUUAAAGGAAUUGGCGGGGGAGCAC
Molecule: ribosomal RNA, 559 nt
Filed under: uncultured Nitrosopumilales archaeon
Lineage: Archaea; Thermoproteati; Nitrososphaerota; Nitrososphaeria; Nitrosopumilales
Description: bacterial SSU rRNA
Rfam family: Archaeal small subunit ribosomal RNA
Source: RNAcentral